GGAACAUAUGAGAUGUUCCAAGAGAUGAAAUUGGGAUUUCAUGCUCGUGCCCUUGUUGAGAGGUAUGAGACCUGAUACGUCUCCAACGUAUAUACUUUUCCAAACUCUUUUGCCCUUGUUUUGGACUAUAAUUUGCAUGAUUUGAAUGGAACUAACAUGGAUUGACGCUGUUUUCAGCAGAUUUGCCUUGGUGUUAUUUUUGUACAGAAAUCAAAGUUCUCCGAACGUCCUGAAAAUUUACGGGGAGCAGUUUUAGAAAAUAUCAAAAAUACCUGUGCUAGAAUCCACCUGAGGGGGUGCGCCAGUGGGCCACAAGCCCCUGCUCCGCCACCACCCCUGGUGGCGGUGGGCAGGCUUGUGGGGCCCAC
Molecule: long non-coding RNA, 368 nt
Filed under: Hordeum vulgare
Lineage: Eukaryota; Viridiplantae; Streptophyta; Magnoliopsida; Poales; Poaceae
Description: long non-coding RNA (HVUL_LNC006684)
Source: RNAcentral